AUUAUUUUGGCAGAAUUGAUGUUUUAAAUUUAGAAUUUAAUUAUAUGUUAUACACAUAAAUAAUA
RNAcentral lists this transfer RNA (65 nucleotides) under Leptaulax koreanus. RNAcentral describes it as "tRNA-Leu". Lineage: Eukaryota; Metazoa; Arthropoda; Insecta; Coleoptera; Passalidae. The record is from RNAcentral.